Molecule: transfer RNA, 73 nt
Filed under: Trichonephila inaurata madagascariensis
Lineage: Eukaryota; Metazoa; Arthropoda; Arachnida; Araneae; Nephilidae
Rfam family: tRNA
About the family: Transfer RNA (tRNA) molecules are approximately 80 nucleotides in length. Their secondary structure includes four short double-helical elements and three loops (D, anti-codon, and T loops).
Source: Rfam by way of RNAcentral
GUCCCUGCAGCGCAAUGGAUAGCGUGUUGGACUUCUAAUCCAAAGGUCGUGAGUUCGAAUCCCACCUAGGAUA